UCGGAUGUAGCUCAGUGGUAGAUUGCUUGCCUAGGAUGCAUGAAGCCCUGGAUUCAAUUCCAGCAUUACAA
Non-coding RNA from Ictidomys tridecemlineatus (thirteen-lined ground squirrel), 71 nucleotides. Lineage: Eukaryota; Metazoa; Chordata; Mammalia; Rodentia; Sciuridae. The record is from Rfam.